ACCAUCAUCGAUGAGGUGGUCCCA
This 24-nucleotide non-coding RNA is filed under the name Arabidopsis thaliana (thale cress). Lineage: Eukaryota; Viridiplantae; Streptophyta; Magnoliopsida; Brassicales; Brassicaceae. The record is from RNAcentral.